Molecule: ribosomal RNA, 252 nt
Filed under: uncultured bacterium
Lineage: Bacteria
Description: partial 16S ribosomal RNA
Rfam family: Bacterial small subunit ribosomal RNA
Source: RNAcentral
ACGAAGGUCCCGAGCGUUGUUCGGAAUCACUGGGCGUAAAGGGAGCGUAGGCGGCGCGGUAAGUCAGAUGUGAAAUCCCGGGGCUCAACCCCGGAACUGCAUCCGAUACUGCCGUGCUAGAGGAUUGGAGAGGUAGCUGGAAUUCACGGUGUAGCAGUGAAAUGCGUAGAUAUCGUGAGGACCACCUGUGGCGAAAGCGAGCUACUGGACAACUCCUGACGCUGAGGCUCGAAGGCUAGGGUAGCGAAAGGG